This 494-nucleotide ribosomal RNA is filed under the name uncultured bacterium. RNAcentral's name for it is "partial 16S ribosomal RNA". It matches the Rfam family "Bacterial small subunit ribosomal RNA", at positions 28 to 507 of the family's 1533-position model. The record is from RNAcentral.
GACGAACGCUGGCGGCGUGCUUAACACAUGCAAGUCGAACGGUGAAGCGCCUUCUUUUUUGGUGGGUGUGGAUGAGUGGCGAACGGGUGCGUAACACGUGAGUAACCUGCACCCUUCUUCGGGAUAACCGCAUGAAAGUGUGGCCAAUACGGGAUAUUCUGGGUCUGUCGCAUGAUGGGUCUGGGAAAGAUAUUGUUUCGGUGGGGGAUGGUCUCGCGGCCUAUCAGCUUGUUGGUGGGGUGAUGGCCUACCAAGGCGGUGACGGGUAGCCGGCCUGGGAGGGUGGACGGUCACGCUGGGGAUGAGACGCGGCCAAGCCUCCUGCGGGAGGCAGCAGUGAUGAAUAUUGCACGAUGGGCGGAAGCCUGAUGCAGCGACGCCGCGUGAGGGAUGGAGGACUUCGGGUUGUGAACCUCUUUCGCCAGUGAAGCAGGGCUGCUUCGUUUGUGGGUGGGUUGACGGUAGCUGGAUAAGAAGCGCCGGCUAACUACGUG